This 406-nucleotide ribosomal RNA is filed under the name uncultured bacterium. RNAcentral describes it as "partial 16S ribosomal RNA". It matches the Rfam family "Bacterial small subunit ribosomal RNA", at positions 30 to 526 of the family's 1533-position model. The record is from RNAcentral.
AUUGAACGCUGGCGGCAGGCCUAACACAUGCAAGUCGAACGAGCGGCGGACGGGUGAGUAGUGUCUGGGAAACUGCCUGAUGGAGGGGGAUAACUACUGGAAACGGUAGCUAAUACCGCAUACCAUCGGAUGUGCCCAGAUGGGAUUAGCUAGUAGGUGGGGUAAAGGCUCACCUAGGCGACGAUCCCUAGCUGGUCUGAGAGGAUGACCAGCCACACUGGAACUGAGACACGGUCCAGACUCCUACGGGAGGCAGCAGUGGGGAAUAUUGCACACUGGGCGCAAUCCUGCUGCAGCCAUGCCGCGUGUAUGAAGAAGGCCUUCGUGUUGUAAAGUACUUUCAGCUGGGAGGCGUUACCCGCAGAAGAAGCACCGGCUAACUCCGUGCCAGCCGCCGCGGUAAUUC